Molecule: transfer RNA, 98 nt
Filed under: Curtobacterium pusillum
Lineage: Bacteria; Bacillati; Actinomycetota; Actinomycetes; Micrococcales; Microbacteriaceae
Description: tRNA-Cys
Source: RNAcentral
GCGGCCGCUCGUCCGGCCCGACCGGACCCGAGGUGAGCACGACCUCGGCCGUGGCGAUGCCGUUGCGGAGCCGACGUCCGGCCUCCUUGCGGCCGCCC